RNAcentral lists this ribosomal RNA (148 nucleotides) under Bacillus spizizenii. RNAcentral describes it as "partial 16S ribosomal RNA". It matches the Rfam family "Bacterial small subunit ribosomal RNA", at positions 1 to 145 of the family's 1533-position model. The record is from RNAcentral. Lineage: Bacteria; Bacillati; Bacillota; Bacilli; Caryophanales; Bacillaceae.
UUAUCGGAGAGUUUGAUCCUGGCUCAGGACGAACGCUGGCGGCGUGCCUAAUACAUGCAAGUCGAGCGAACAGAUGGGAGCUUGCUCCCUGAUGUUAGCGGCGGACGGGUGAGUAACACGUGGGUAACCUGCCUGUAAGACUGGGAUA